UGUGAGGGUUGCUGGAGGUAUCAGAAGUGCGAAUGCUGACAUAAGUAACGAUAAAGCGGGUGAAAAGCCCGCUCGCCGGAAGACCAAGGGUUCCUGUCCAACGUUAAUCGGGGCAGGGUGAGUCGACCCCUAAGGCGAGGCCGAAAGGCGUAGUCGAUGGGAAACGGGUUAAUAUUCCCGUACUUGGUGUUACUGCGAAGGGGGGACGGAGAAGGCUAUGUUGGCCGGGCGACGGUUGUCCCGGUUUAAGCGUGUAGGUGUGUGUUCCAGGUAAAUCCGGUUCACUUUAACACUGAGGCGUGACGACGAGGCACUACGGUGCUGAAGCAACAAAUGCCCUGCUUCCAGGAAAAGCCUCUAAGCAUCAGGUAACAUCAAAUCGUACCCCAAACCGACACAGGUGGUCAGGUAGAGAAUACCAAGGCGCUUGAGAGAACUCGGGUGAAGGAACUAGGCAAAAUGGUGCCGUAACUUCGGGAGAAGGCACGCUGACACGUAGGUGAAGUGAUUUACUCAUGGAGCUGAAGUCAGUCGAAGAUACCAGCUGGCUGCAACUGUUUAUUAAAAACACAGCACUGUGCAAACACGAAAGUGGACGUAUACGGUGUGACGCCUGCCCGGUGCCGGAAGGUUAAUUGAUGGGGUCAGCGCAAGCGAAGCUCCUGAUCGAAGCCCCGGUAAACGGCGGCCGUAACUAUAACGGUCCUAAGGUAGCGAAAUUCCUUGUCGGGUAAGUUCCGACCUGCACGAAUGGCGUAAUGAUGGCCAGGCUGUCUCCACCCGAGACUCAGUGAAAUUGAACUCGCUGUGAAGAUGCAGUGUACCCGCGGCAAGACGGAAAGACCCCGUGAACCUUUACUAUAGCUUGACACUGAACAUUGAGCCUUGAUGUGUAGGAUAGGUGGGAGGCUUUGAAGUGUGGACGCCAGUCUGCAUGGAGCCGACCUUGAAAUACCACCCUUUAAUGUUUGAUGUUCUAACGUGGACCCGUUACCCGGGUUGCGGACAGUGUCUGGUGGGUAGUUUGACUGGGGCGGUCUCCUCCUAAAGAGUAACGGAGGAGCACGAAGGUUGGCUAAUCCUGGUCGGACAUCAGGAGGUUAGUGCAAUGGCAUAAGCCAGCUUGACUGCGAGCGUGACGGCGCGAGCAGGUGCGAAAGCAGGUCAUAGUGAUCCGGUGGUUCUGAAUGGAAGGGCCAUCGCUCAACGGAUAAAAGGUACUCCGGGGAUAACAGGCUGAUACCGCCCAAGAGUUCAUAUCGACGGCGGUGUUUGGCACCUCGAUGUCGGCUCAUCACAUCCUGGGGCUGAAGUAGGUCCCAAGGGUAUGGCUGUUCGCCAUUUAAAGUGGUACGCGAGCUGGGUUUAGAACGUCGUGAGACAGUUCGGUCCCUAUCUGCCGUGGGCGCUGGAGAACUGAGGGGGGCUGCUCCUAGUACGAGAGGACCGGAGUGGACGCAUCACUGGUGUUCGGGUUGUCAUGCCAAUGGCACUGCCCGGUAGCUAAAUGCGGAAGAGAUAAGUGCUGAAAGCAUCUAAGCACGAAACUUGCCCCGAGAUGAGUUCUCCCUGAGACUUAGAGUCUCCUGAAGGAACGUUGAAGACGACGACGUUGAU
RNAcentral lists this ribosomal RNA (1617 nucleotides) under Salmonella enterica subsp. enterica serovar Enteritidis. RNAcentral describes it as "partial 23S ribosomal RNA". It matches the Rfam family "Bacterial large subunit ribosomal RNA", at positions 1262 to 2857 of the family's 2925-position model. The record is from RNAcentral. Lineage: Bacteria; Pseudomonadati; Pseudomonadota; Gammaproteobacteria; Enterobacterales; Enterobacteriaceae.